Molecule: ribosomal RNA, 599 nt
Filed under: uncultured bacterium
Lineage: Bacteria
Description: bacterial SSU rRNA
Rfam family: Bacterial small subunit ribosomal RNA
Source: RNAcentral
CCUACGGGAGGCAGCAGUAGGGAAUUUUCCACAAUGGGCGAAGGCCUGAUGGAGCAAUACCGCGUGCAGGAUGAAGGCCUUCGGGUCGUAAACUGCUUUUAUGUGCGAAGAAUUUGACGGUAACACGUGAAUAAGGAUCGGCUAACUACGUGCCAGCAGCCGCGGUCAUACGUAGGAUCCAAGCGUUAUCCGGAAUUACUGGGCGUAAAGAGUUGCGUAGGUGGCAUUAUAAGUGGAGCGUGAAAGCGUGCGGCUCAACCGCAUUAUUGCGUUCCAAACUGUGAAGCUUGAGUAUGGGAGAGGUAGAUGGAAUUUCUAGUGUAGGAGUGAAAUCCGUAGAUAUUAGAAGGAACACCGAUGGCGUAGGCAGUCUACUGGCCCAUUACUGACACUAAGGCACGAAAGCGUGGGGAGCAAACGGGAUUAGAUACCCCGGUAGUCCACGCUGUAAACUAUGGAUGCUAGCUGUGACACACAUCGACCUGUAGUCGUAGCGAAGUUAACGCGUUAAGCAUCCCGCCUGGGGAGUACGGUCGCAAGAUUAAAACUCAAAAGGAUUAGACGGACGNGAGAGAGCGAGACGACGACGAGGAGGAGAG